GACUUGCACAUAUAAGCCCAGAUGGCCUGAAGUAACUGAAGAAUCACAAAAGAAGUGAAUAUGUCCUGCCCCACCUUAACUGAUGACAUUCCACCACAAAAGAAGUGUAAAUGGCCGGUCCUUGCCUUAAGUGAUGACAUUACCUUGUGAAAGUCCUUUUCCUGGCUCAUCCUGGCUCAAAAAGCACCCCCACUGAGCACCUUGCAACCCCCAUCCUGCCCGCCAGAGAACAAACCCCCUUUGACUGUAAUUUUCCUUUACCUACCCAAAUCCUAUAAAACGGCCCCACCCUUAUCUCCCUUCACUGACUCUCUUUUCGGACUCAGCCCGCCUGCACCCAGGUGAAAUAAACAGCCAUGUUGCUCACACAAAGCCUGU
This 378-nucleotide long non-coding RNA is filed under the name Homo sapiens (human). RNAcentral describes it as "HSALNT0320964". The record is from RNAcentral. Lineage: Eukaryota; Metazoa; Chordata; Mammalia; Primates; Hominidae.